GUGGGGAAUAUUGGGCAAUGGGCGAAAGCCUGACCCAGCAACGCCGCGUGAAGGAAGAAGGUCUUCGGAUCGUAAACUUCUAUCCUUGGUGAAGAUAAUGACGGUAGCCGAGAAGGAAGCCCCGGCUAACUACGUGCCAGCAGCCGCGGUAAUACGUAGGGGGCAAGCGUUGUCCGGAAUGAUUGGGCGUAAAGGGCGCGUAGGCGGCCUGGUAAGUCUGGAGUGAAAGUCCUGCUUUUAAGGUGGGAAUUGCUUUGGAUACUGUCGGGCUUGAGUGCAGGAGAGGUAAGUGGAAUUCCCGGUGUAGCGGUGAAAUGCGUAGAGAUCGGGAGGAACACCAGUGGCGAAGGCGACUUACUGGACUGUAACUGACGCUGAGGCGCGAAAGCCAGGGGAGCGAACGGGAUUAGAAACCCCGGUAGUCC
Molecule: ribosomal RNA, 425 nt
Filed under: uncultured bacterium
Lineage: Bacteria
Description: partial 16S ribosomal RNA
Rfam family: Bacterial small subunit ribosomal RNA
Source: RNAcentral